CAACUCUCAACAACGGAUAUCUUGGCUCUCGCAACGAUGAAGAACGCAGCGAAAUGCGAUACGUAGUGUGAAUUGCAGAAUCCCGUGAACCAUCGAAUCUUUGAACGCAUAUUGCGCUCGAGCCUUCGGGCAAGAGCAUGUCUGUCUCAGCGUCGUUUUGAUACC
RNAcentral lists this ribosomal RNA (165 nucleotides) under Parapediastrum biradiatum. RNAcentral's name for it is "partial 5.8S ribosomal RNA". It matches the Rfam family "5.8S ribosomal RNA". From Rfam's summary of the family: 5.8S ribosomal RNA (5.8S rRNA) is a component of the large subunit of the eukaryotic ribosome. It is transcribed by RNA polymerase I as part of the 45S precursor that also contains 18S and 28S rRNA. Lineage: Eukaryota; Viridiplantae; Chlorophyta; Chlorophyceae; Sphaeropleales; Hydrodictyaceae. The record is from RNAcentral.